CCAUUUGUCGUAUUAGUUAUAGAGUUCCUUCUGAGCUUAGGGUGAUGAGCCUUCUUCGGUUGCCUUGGUCUGUAUUCUCAAAGGCUUGAAGUAUAAGUCUCUUAGCGACCAUUGGGGCAUGUAAAAUCCAUUCAGCUACUUGCACUGCCAAAGAAACUAGCUACAACAUUACAAAGAUCAGGAAGUUUAAAAACCAGUUUCAUCUGUAUAAAACAUCUGCAGAGUCCAGAGAAAUGGUGAGGGGGAAGAGGAGUCCCUCUGCAGAUUGUGGGUCUGCACCAGUGGGAAAAUACGUGGGAACUGGACAGCACAAGUUGGACAGCCAUCUGUUGGUGAUGCUCUGGAAUCAACCAAUCAAUCUGGAAUCAAGCAAGCAAGGUGUUAGAUUAGAUGGCCUACAACACCCCAUUCUGCUCUAUGGCUUAAAAAUCUAAUGGAAUAAUCUUAUCUGGGCUGCAGCAGGGUAUGACAAAGUGACAUAGCUGCCACCAUAUCUGCAGCCUUAUCUCUCAUGCUGACUGGGAAGGAAGGUGAGGGGGGCAGACAAAAGGCUGCUCUGGGCUACACCAGCCUGGAGUUUGCAUAGUGAUCAGGUCUGGU
Molecule: long non-coding RNA, 600 nt
Organism: Rhineura floridana
Lineage: Eukaryota; Metazoa; Chordata; Lepidosauria; Squamata; Rhineuridae
Exons: 4
Source: RefSeq, a predicted model, not a curated record